Molecule: long non-coding RNA, 1774 nt
Organism: Bombus impatiens (common eastern bumble bee)
Lineage: Eukaryota; Metazoa; Arthropoda; Insecta; Hymenoptera; Apidae
Exons: 2
Source: RefSeq, a predicted model, not a curated record
AGUCAGUUUAGUAACUGACUGUACUAGUGCAACUGAAAGUCAAAAACUGUGUCGAGGAAAGAAAUAGAACCCGCGCAAUCGAGAUCACACUAACUGUAUGACUUACAUCUUUGUUUUCUUGUGCCUCGACAGAUUUAAACGUUUUAUUAAUCCAAUCUUUCACAUCGAAAAUAUCUUCGGAAAAUGCAGAUACAUCCUGAAAUCGGUUUAAGGAUUUUUAAUAAAUAUUUCGUUGCUUACCAUGAUAAAUUACAAAUCGUUAAAACUUUUCAGGUAACUUUUUUUUUUAUAAAAAUGUAAAAUGUAAAGUAUACGGUGCGAAUGGUACGGUUUCGAGAGUCGAAGUUUAUUUUCUCUAUAUUUUAUUCUUUUUUCGGAUGCCGUAUAGCGCAGAAGUGUUUCGGUACACAGCCACUUUGCCGUUGCACUUCGCGUGUUGUUUCGUGACGUCGGAACCCAGAAGAACGUUAUUAUCGUAUUAGAUUACAACAAAUUAAUUCGUUCUAUGUGUUUCUUUUCUUCUUUUUUUUUCUUUUUUGUUUCCUUGCAUUAGUAUUAUCAAACAUUUUUGUGCAUUUCUAAAAUAUAUGUAGUGCUGCAAGGUCUAUGAUCGUCAAACAAAUCGAUUGUGCAAAUGUGCAGCAUUUAUACUUCUGUAAUGGGACGCAGUUCUAGAUUAUAGAUUCACUUAAUUCGUUGUGAAAACGCGAAAAUUUCGGGAAACUAAAAUGACAACUUCGAUACACGAUACUUUAUACAUAUGUGACGGUAUUUAAGAUUUAACGAUAACAUAACGAUACAAUGAAAUUAAAGAAAAGGAUCACUAAAGAUAAAACGAGUGUCUUGUUUUUUCUCUGUAAUAAUUGUGAUAAAAUGAAUAUCUCGGAUUCCAGACGAAUACUAUAAAGGAAAGACCAUUUUGGAAGGUGCUGUUCACCCCUUUGCGACAAUCAGCUCGGUUUCCUUGUGACACAGUUCACUUCUCUGGAUUCUGAUAAACUGCCUAACAGAAGGAUAUAAAUCGAAGAAGAAAAGGGAGAGAAGAUGGAAAACAGCAUCAUAUCGGCCGUUUCCGGGCCCUUUGUUGAUCGCCACGCCUCCGAAACUGCGUUUGCGCGUGACGAUUUGCGCAACAGUUGGAAGUUGGAAUUUUGCCUGGAAAUAGCCUUAAUCUCGACGAAAAUAAGGAGAGCAGGCUGAGCAGAACUGCAGCGGCUAUACUUUGCCCUUUUCUUUGCGAACAUUGAGCGCAUCAUCUGGUCGAGAAAAAGCCUAUGUUUCUCAGGUUGUGCUGCAUACGCAUGUGCUUCGUUUUACCAUGUCACACGAAUUUAUUACAUACGUUAUUGAUCAUUUGAUACCUUAUUUAUGUUCAUUUCAUGACUAUAAGUUCUCUAAUCUUUUUUGUUAUUGAAUAUUUGAAACGAGAUCUUGGAGUUUCGAGUUCACAUGCGUAACAAGGGAAUUAUUCUUUCGCAUAAAGUUGAACUUUAUUACGGACGGCAAUCAGACCCAAUCAGUACGGCAUAUUAGAAGCGUAUGCAUUUAAUGUCGCGUAUAAAGUGCGUCGAUCAGAAGUCCAAUUUUGUAAUCUUGCUGUGCAUAUGAAUGCGUGCCGCUGAUAAAUUGUCCUUCAUUUGGACCAGGCUGAGACUUUUCAAAAAAGUACUAUUUCAUUUAUUCAUUAUAAACAAACGAAAAAAAUAUCGAUCAUUACAAUUUUACAAUAUGAAUUUGUUCCUUUUUGUGUAUUAAUGUUGAUGUUAAAAAGUUG